This 425-nucleotide ribosomal RNA is filed under the name Phyllomedusa vaillantii group sp. ABGD cluster 30. RNAcentral describes it as "partial large subunit ribosomal RNA". It matches the Rfam family "Bacterial large subunit ribosomal RNA", at positions 1835 to 2457 of the family's 2925-position model. Lineage: Eukaryota; Metazoa; Chordata; Amphibia; Anura; Hylidae. The record is from RNAcentral.
CCUGCCACCCAUAAGAGGUCCAGCCUGCCCAGUGACUCUGUUCAACGGCCGCGGUAUCCUAACCGUGCGAAGGUAGCGUAAUCACUUGUUCUUUAAAUGAGGACUAGUAUGAACGGCACUACGAGGGUUACACUGUCUCCUUUUCCAAAUCAGUGAAACUAAUCUCCCCGUGAAGAAGCGGGAAUAAACCUAUAAGACGAGAAGACCCUAUGGAGCUUCAAACUUCCCAGCAAUUAUUUUUUACUAAUUCAAUCUCAAGAUAAUAAAAUGAACCCUUAUAAUAUGACUGCAAGUUUUCGGUUGGGGUGACCACGGAGUAAAAUCCACCCUCCACAAUGAAUUAUAAACCUUAGCUUUAAACAAAGAAACACAAUUCUAUGUAUCAAAAAAUUGACAUUAUUGACCCAAUAUUUUGACCAAUGAAC